Long non-coding RNA from Suricata suricatta (meerkat), 238 nucleotides. RefSeq lists it as uncharacterized. The record is from RefSeq and is a predicted model, not a curated record. The transcript has 3 exons. NCBI's taxonomy places the organism in Eukaryota, Metazoa, Chordata, Mammalia, Carnivora, Herpestidae.
CUUAGGUUCACCUGGGGGAGCUUUACAAAUCCCAAUGCCUGGCUCCCACCCUGGACAGAUGACAUCAGACCCGUGAAGGGAUAGCACGGCGGCAUCACUGCUUUGGCCCAGUCCUCACCCAGGACCAAUAAAAUCAGAAUCCCAGAGGGAUGGAACUCAGCCAUGAGCCAUUCUUCAACCUUCUCAGGCUGCCGACACAGAUAUGGUACCAAAUGUUCCCUUUGAGGUUACCAACCAC